AGCAGCCGCGGUAAUUCCAGCUCCAAUAGCGUAUAUUAAAGUUGUUGCAGUUAAAAAGCUCGUAGUUGAACUUCGGGGUUCACCCAUUGGUCAGGCUUAAUUGUCUGUACUGGUGAGAUGAGUCUCUACCUUCUGAGGAACUUUCAUGCCAUUUAUUUGGUGUGAUGGGAAAUCAGGACUGUUACUUUGAAAAAAUUAGAGUGUUUAAAGCAGGCUAACGUCUGAAUACAUUAGCAUGGAAUAAUGAAAUAGGACGGAUUGAUUCUAUUUCGUUGGUUUCUAGGGUCACCGUAAUGAUUAAUAGGGAUAGUUGGGGGCAUUAGUAUUCAAUUGUCAGAGGUGACAUUCUUGGAUUUAUUGAAGACUAACUACUGCGAAAGCAUUUGCCAAGGAUGUUUUCAUUAAUCAAGAACGAAAGUUAGGGGAUCGAAGACGAUCAGAUACCGUCGUAGUCUUAACCAUAAACUAUGCCGACUAGGGAUCGGACGAAGUUAAUUUUAUAAUGACGCGUUCGGCACCUUACG
Molecule: ribosomal RNA, 524 nt
Filed under: uncultured Diversispora
Lineage: Eukaryota; Fungi; Glomeromycota; Glomeromycetes; Diversisporales; Diversisporaceae
Description: SSU rRNA
Rfam family: Eukaryotic small subunit ribosomal RNA
Source: RNAcentral